Long non-coding RNA from Tachysurus vachellii, 3373 nucleotides. RefSeq lists it as uncharacterized. NCBI's taxonomy places the organism in Eukaryota, Metazoa, Chordata, Actinopteri, Siluriformes, Bagridae. The transcript has 7 exons. The record is from RefSeq and is a predicted model, not a curated record.
AUCUUGCUUUAACCUUGAUUGCAAUGUAGAGAUCGGUGUAGAAAUGUUCAGCACCGGCGAACAUCAGUCGGCUUUUAAAAAUAGUCCGCGUGCAGAUAGAAAUGCCGCUGGCCUUUUGUGCGCGCGCACAGCCAAUGAGCGCGGAGCUGGCGGGUCAGAGCGCGCGCGCGUUUCUCCCCUUUCUGCCCAACUCUGACCUUGAGGGAGACAAUAAAAGAGGGUCAGAGCGCGCCUGGGGCAAGCCGAGCCACCGUGAGCCUUCCACAGGUGUUUUGAGGACCAGUCUCGCGUCCCGGAGUGUUUACUUGCGUCCAGCUUUAUGGAGCUGAUUGAGUUCUUCGAGAGCGCGCAGAAGCAACCUGGGCCUGUGCACGCGCACGCGCAGGGAUUGGACGGUACUGUCUCAUCAAUCUGCGUCUCAAGCAGUGCAUCUCGUUUGGAAGCACACAACUAAACUAAAAAAAAACCUUAAAAUUGUAGGGAAAAACAGCAUUGCUUUGUGAUGAAUGACUUGCAGAAAUACCAUGUGGAAUUCAAUGCCAGAAAGGAUGCAGGUCUGGAUCCCUGAUCAGUUGGAAGCCACAAUGUGGAGAUUAAAACAAAUCAGAUGUAAAGAAGAUAUUCACAGAACCUCCUCACGGCUGUUCGAUGUGACAGAGAACCAUAACAAAUGGCUACCAGUCUACACUACUGCUGACAUCUCUGAUUUAAGAAGCUCAGAUGCUUGAAAUUAUAUCUGCUUCAUUGCUGACAAUGCACACCAUGACUUGCUAGAAUUAAGCAGAAGCAGUAAGUCACUCUACACAUCCCUCCUUCAGAAGUUCUUCAUUGGACCUCUUGACUUGAAAUGGCUGGAUUUGAGCUCUCCGAAGCAAGUUUUUGAGCAGUUGUACAUCAGUUUCACAACUGACAAACUUAAGCAGGUUUUUUUUAACCAGCACAUGUUCAUCUUGGAGCAGGAGGAAUAUAACAGGUGGCACUGAAUGGACUUUAUUGACGAUGGCUUAGACCUGCAUUGACCUCAUUGACUAGGAGAAUCCUAAACUGAUGGCCAACCAGAGGAGCACUCAGUCUAACUUUGAAUGCAACAGCAUUUCUGAAAUGCAGACCUACUGAAACUUGCACCCUGCAUCUACUAUUCCAAAGGACAAAUUGUACAGUGGGACAAUGAGACAAUGAGAUUGUAGAGAAACUUCUAAGUUUGCUGUAUACUAACCACAUGCAAUACAGGUUAGCCAACACAAUGGUUAAAAUGGAUCUUAAUCUGUUCUUCUAAGUUUCUCCCUUCUAUAAUUUCUUCACCCUGAGUUCAUGAAUUUGUUCCUCCUCAUCUGCUUGAUCACGCAGAAGAUAUGAGCGAUUAGCAGAUAACAAAGAUUACCGCCAUGCUGUAGUAAUUCUGCUUAUGAUGAUUGAGGAAAAUAAUAAGCCUUCAAGUAUUUUUUGCAUACUUAAGUCAAAAUUAUUAACCGGUAACUUUGCGUCAGGAAAAAGAAUACUGAAAUAUUGAGUGUAUUGAAUGUAGUGUCAUGUAGAUUGUAUAUUUGGAUUUUUUUUUAUCAUAGUGCUUAACAGUUGAAUGUGUUUUUGUAUGGCUGCAAUUUUAAGGAGCUAUGAGAGGAAUGUGUGAGGUAUGUUUAGUCUGUGAUGUGGCGUGUGUCCAACAUGUGUCCACAAACGCGUCCAUGAUUGUGUGUGGCCCCUUUGAAAGAAGCCUGUUAAACCCCUUCUACCCCAAAUAGCAUUGACAAAAGCAGGUGUGGUGGUGGGUCAUGUGGUGGCUCAAAGGAACCCCGUGCCAGUUGUUGAGUAUUCUUUCCCAGUAUGACCCCCAUCCCCACAUUAUAAAUAACCCUCACUGCUUUGUUAGGAAUAGUUGCUGUCAAUAGCAUACGCAUUGCUGAGAUGCCAGCUCAGGUGAUUGAGGAUUAAGUCCUCUUGUUUCACCAUUGAGUUGGGUUGCAGAUAAUCAACAACCUCUCUCCAACCUCUGACCGAGUGUCUCUGAUUGUCAUGCCAUGCCAGCAAUGCGGAAUUGAUUUACUUUCCAGGCAUGUCUAGUGUCACCAUGGGCUUACUGAUAUAGAACACAAGACACAAUGGCGUGUGCUAGUCUGACCCUAUUUGGUGCUGGCCUCACUGAGCUAAUUUAGAACAAUGGGGAGGAGAGAUUGAGUUCCACUAUCAAAAAGGAGGCUGUCACUCCUAAACUUGUACCCAAAUGAAAAGGAAGAAUACUUACUGCUAAAUGCCGUAAAUGUAAACAUACUGUACACUAAUACAUUUAUAGGACUUGGAUUGAUCCUUUAUUUUAUGCACUGUUUGAACUAGUUUGCCCACUAUGCACUUUCUGUGGCUAGGACAACUACUUCGUAGCACCCUAGUCUUGGAGGAACGUUUUAUUUUAGUAUGCACUGUCAGGUAUACAUGGUUGAAAUGGCAAUAAAAAGCUUCUGAACUUGUCCUUUUUCCAAAAGAAAGCAGAGAACUCAGGAUGUGGAUUGGUUAAAUAGGCAAGACAGUCCAUUAGAGCAAAUGUAAAAAUCUCUGGAUUAAGAGUGACAUCCAGGCACACUGGAGGAGCCUUUUUGUUUGAAGUGGAUGAAGAUUGUGUAGAAAGGCCUAAUUGAGAUUUUUUUUUUUGAGAGGAAAAAAAAAUUGAGAAUUGAGCUGUAAUGUCAACACAACUAUAUUAACUACAAUGAAGGGUUGGUUAAAUCCAAUAUCAACAUAGAUAUUUAUCCUCUUCAUAUAUUAUCUAUACGUAUGCAAGUUACAUGAAGGCCAAGUAGCAUGAACAAAUAAAAGCAAUGGAGCUCGACGGGUAUAUAGUCAUCUGUAUGAUGUGGCAGUAACAGUUCAACAUAACAGCUGGUUGUUGGUCUGGAAAAGGUCCAAAUAGAUAUUGAACAAAUUGGCCAAAAUGUGCAAAUCCUGGUGAAAUGAAAGGACAAGACCAUCCUGAGCUAUUUCAGAAAGAUCUACCACAGUGCAGGACAGAGCAGACAUGGACGACUGGUAAUUUCUCAUGAAUUCUCAUGAAACAGACAUAUCGUCCAGCCAUGAUUGCUCCUAUAUUUAGAGCAGGUGACUUCACACAGUGAUGAAGCAUGCUUCUGAUUAAAUUUUUGGUUUUCACUUUGCUCUAGCCAAGGAUUCUUACUUGUUAGCAAUGUAGAUGGGCAAAGAUCAGAACUUUUGUGGUAUGCAGUAGAGCUUUCAUAUAGUAAAAUGAAGUUUUUCAAAACUCGCAGAUGUUUCAAAGGCUGCCUGAGCACAAAAAUGACUAGAAAUUUUGAAUAAAGCAAAAUGAAAGAGAAUUGUUGGUGUGACAUAUAUAUGCAAUGUUUUGAAAAUUAAAGAAUGUUAAUAA